GGGGUUGUGGUUCAGUGGUAGAACAUGCACCGAGCACGUGCAAGGCCCUGGGUUUGAUCCUCACUCAGCCUCA
Molecule: transfer RNA, 73 nt
Filed under: Marmota monax (woodchuck)
Lineage: Eukaryota; Metazoa; Chordata; Mammalia; Rodentia; Sciuridae
Description: tRNA.Ala
Rfam family: tRNA
About the family: Transfer RNA (tRNA) molecules are approximately 80 nucleotides in length. Their secondary structure includes four short double-helical elements and three loops (D, anti-codon, and T loops). Further hydrogen bonds mediate the characteristic L-shaped molecular structure. tRNAs have two regions of fundamental functional importance: the anti-codon, which is responsible for specific mRNA codon recognition, and the 3' end, to which the tRNAs corresponding amino acid is attached (by aminoacyl-tRNA synthetases). tRNAs cope with the degeneracy of the genetic code in two manners: having more than one tRNA (with a specific anti-codon) for a particular amino acid; and 'wobble' base-pairing, i.e. permitting non-standard base-pairing at the 3rd anti-codon position.
Source: RNAcentral